GGAGAGGUGCGAGAGUGGCUAAUCCGGCGCGAUUGGAGAUCGCGUGUAUCAUACCUUGAUACCGUGGGUUCGAAUCCCACCCUCUCCG
RNAcentral lists this transfer RNA (88 nucleotides) under bacterium. RNAcentral describes it as "tRNA-Ser". It matches the Rfam family "tRNA". From Rfam's summary of the family: Transfer RNA (tRNA) molecules are approximately 80 nucleotides in length. Their secondary structure includes four short double-helical elements and three loops (D, anti-codon, and T loops). RNAcentral also lists the same sequence under 1 other name. The record is from RNAcentral.